GUUUGAUCCUGGCUCAGAACGAACGCUGGCGGCAGGCUUAACACAUGCAAGUCGAGCGCCCCGCAAGGGGAGCGGCAGACGGGUGAGUAACGCGUGGGAACGUACCUUUUGCUACGGAAUAACUCAGGGAAACUUGUGCUAAUACCGUAUGUGCCCUUCGGGGGAAAGAUUUAUCGGCAAAGGAUCGGCCCGCGUUGGAUUAGCUAGUUGGUGAGGUAAAGGCUCACCAAGGCGACGAUCCAUAGCUGGUCUGAGAGGAUGAUCAGCCACACUGGGACUGAGACACGGCCCAGACUCCUACGGGAGGCAGCAGUGGGGAAUAUUGGACAAUGGGCGCAAGCCUGAUCCAGCC
RNAcentral lists this ribosomal RNA (352 nucleotides) under Ochrobactrum sp. R-25054. RNAcentral describes it as "bacterial SSU rRNA". It matches the Rfam family "Bacterial small subunit ribosomal RNA", at positions 11 to 393 of the family's 1533-position model. RNAcentral also lists the same sequence under 1 other name. Lineage: Bacteria; Pseudomonadati; Pseudomonadota; Alphaproteobacteria; Hyphomicrobiales; Brucellaceae. The record is from RNAcentral.